GACGAACGCUGGCGGCGUGCUUAACACAUGCAAGUCGAACGCUGAACCCGCUUCGGUGGGGGAUGAGUGGCGAACGGGUGAGUAACACGUGGGCAACCUGCCCCCGGCUCUGGGAUAACUCCAAGAAAUUGGGUCUAAUACCGGAUGUGACCGCUGGCCGCAUGGUCUGGUGGUGGAAAGGGUUUCCGGCUGGGGAUGGGCCCGCGGCCUAUCAGCUUGUUGGUGGGGUAGUGGCCUACCAAGGCGACGACGGGUAGCCGGCCUGAGAGGGUGACCGGCCACACUGGGACUGAGACACGGCCCAGACUCCUACGGGAGGCAGCAGUGGGGAAUAUUGCGCAAUGGGCGGAAGCCUGACGCAGCGACGCCGCGUGGGGGAUGACGGCCUUCGGGUUGUAAACCUCUUUCAGCAGGGACGAAGCGCAAGUGACGGUACCUGCAGAAGAAGCACCGGCCAACUACGUG
RNAcentral lists this ribosomal RNA (465 nucleotides) under uncultured bacterium. RNAcentral describes it as "partial 16S ribosomal RNA". It matches the Rfam family "Bacterial small subunit ribosomal RNA", at positions 28 to 507 of the family's 1533-position model. The record is from RNAcentral.